GAACGCCCCGCAAGGGGAGUGGCAGACGGGUGAGUAACGCGUGGGAACAUACCCUUUGGUUCGGAAUAACUCAGGGAAACUUGAGCUAAUACCGGAUAAGUCCGCGAGGAGAAAGAUUCAUCGCCGAAGGAUUGGCCCGCGUUCGAUUAGCUAGUUGGUGAGGUAACGGCUCACCAAGGCGACGAUCGAUAGCUGGUCUGAGAGGAUGAUCAGCCACAUUGGGACUGAGACACGGCCCAAACUCCUACGGGAGGCAGCAGUGGGGAAUAUUGGACAAUGGGCGAAAGCCUGAUCCAGCCAUGCCGCGUGAGUGAUGACGGCCCUAGGGUUGUAAAGCUCUUUCGUCAGGGACGAUAAUGACGGUACCUGAAGAAGAAGCCCCGGCUAACUUCGUG
RNAcentral lists this ribosomal RNA (395 nucleotides) under uncultured bacterium. Its description in RNAcentral is "bacterial SSU rRNA". It matches the Rfam family "Bacterial small subunit ribosomal RNA", at positions 64 to 507 of the family's 1533-position model. The record is from RNAcentral.